Molecule: long non-coding RNA, 590 nt
Organism: Melitaea cinxia (Glanville fritillary)
Lineage: Eukaryota; Metazoa; Arthropoda; Insecta; Lepidoptera; Nymphalidae
Exons: 3
Source: RefSeq, a predicted model, not a curated record
AAACUUAAACUAACAAAACGUUAAAAAAACGUUAGACGUUUAAACUUUCAUAUAUCUACUGUGAUCAAAUUACAUAAAAAAAUACUAGGGGCACAUAACUAUUUUUAUAUGUAUUAAUUUUUUAAUAAUUGUAUGUGUUAACAGCAGCCGCAGCUACAGGUGCAGACGAUUCAAAUACAUCCCCAACACCAGCCCAUACAAAUACAUGCGGUGGGCGUGCAGCAAGUGCAGCAGGAGCAGCUGCACGUCGCCACCUCGUCCUGCCAGACCAUGCUGCCCAACAUUCUGCAGCUGCAGCCGGGCGCCGUGGUAUCGGGCCUGGCGUCCGGCCUGGCGCAGGAGCUCGGCGGCGUGCACCGCAUCAUCCUGCAGCCGCCGCACGCGCACCCCGCGCUCUACACCAUCCACCACUGACCACAGACACCGUCACCCUCGUCCGCACUCACCACAGAUAACGUCACCCUCGUCUGCGCCGACCACAGAUAACGUUACCCUCGUCUGCGCUGACCACAGAUAGCGUUACCCUCGUCUGCUACUGACCACAUUCUAUAUUAAUAACCACACUCAACCCAGAUCAUCACAUCACUAGG